RNAcentral lists this ribosomal RNA (253 nucleotides) under uncultured bacterium. Its description in RNAcentral is "partial 16S ribosomal RNA". It matches the Rfam family "Bacterial small subunit ribosomal RNA", at positions 524 to 776 of the family's 1533-position model. The record is from RNAcentral.
UACAGAGGGUGCAAGCGUUAAUCGGAAUUACUGAGCGUAAAGCGUGCGCAGUCGGUUAUUUAAGUCGGAUGUGAAAUCCCCGGGCUCAACCUGGGAAUUGCAUUCGAGACUGAAUAGCUAGGGUACGGUAGAGGGAAGUGGAAUUUCCGGUGUAGCGGUGAAAUGCGUAGAUAUCGGAAGGAACAUCAGUGGCGAAAGCGACUUCCUGGACCAGUACCGACGUUCAGGCACGAAAGCGUGGGGAGCAAACAGG